UAGCCAAAAGACUUCCUAGCACUUAACUUAACAUCCUAAAGAGACAUAGCAAAUAGCAUGAACAACUAUCUUAUUAUACUCUAGCUUCUCUAUGCCUAUCCAUACUCUUAUGCCUCUACACAAGUUGCAAUACUCAUAACCUAACAAGUUCCUUCAACCAGCUCUCACAUUGAUUCACACACACACACACACAAGGUGAAUUCUCACAAAUGGGCACAUGAUCUCAAUCAUUUGGCUAGGUAAGCAAUGGUCUAAUAUGAAUGAAGAGAAGGAUUCAAAUGUUAUCAUUUCAAGGUGGUUAUCACUCAAAAACAAGGAGCUUGAUCAUUAUGAAAAAUUUAUCUAAGACUAGAAGCAAUUCAUGCAUACAUAGAUCCAUUUUCAUCAUUCUACCCUUUUCCUAAGUGAUUACAAGUUCUACCCUUUUCAUCCCCAUCUUAAAGCCAAAAUAACACC
RNAcentral lists this long non-coding RNA (456 nucleotides) under Brassica napus (rape). RNAcentral's name for it is "long non-coding RNA (BNAP_LNC025382)". Lineage: Eukaryota; Viridiplantae; Streptophyta; Magnoliopsida; Brassicales; Brassicaceae. The record is from RNAcentral.